Non-coding RNA from Paramuricea clavata, 397 nucleotides. The record is from the annotation of a GenBank genome assembly. NCBI's taxonomy places the organism in Eukaryota, Metazoa, Cnidaria, Anthozoa, Malacalcyonacea, Plexauridae.
CUUCAACAAUUAGUUCUAUCGAGUGCAAUGCCCAAAAUGCUGAUAACAAUAUUUGUUUCAUGUUUCAAAUUUUGUUUUUAAUAUUAAUUAGCCAUCAACACAAACGAGAAAACCGUUUUGGUUCCAAACUGUAGAAUUCCAGUUGAUGUUGUGAGGAAUGAAAGAUGAUGUCAACCAAUAAUGAACUAUCAGAUGCUCAGCGUAUGUCAUUGCAUGCCAUUAUGUUUUCGAGGCUAUCCACUUAGUUAUGACUUAUGUGGAUUGUGUCAAUCAGAGUUGUGUUGUUGGCAGAGGUUAAUUUUUAAAAAGUGUUAUCUUAAUUUGUAUACAGGUGUAUUGAUGGUUGCAUGAUUGUAGUCCUAGCUUAUAUAUUGUAAAUAUUUAAUAAUUUUAGCUA